UACGAAGGGGGCUAGCGUUGCUCGGAAUCACUGGGCGUAAAGGGUGCGUAGGCGGGUCUUUAAGUCAGGGGUGAAAUCCUGGAGCUCAACUCCAGAACUGCCUUUGAUACUGAAGAUCUUGAGUUCGGGAGAGGUGAGUGGAACUGCGAGUGUAGAGGUGAAAUUCGUAGAUAUUCGCAAGAACACCAGUGGCGAAGGCGGCUCACUGGCCCGAUACUGACGCCGAGGCACGAAAGCGUGGGGAGCAAACAGG
This 253-nucleotide ribosomal RNA is filed under the name uncultured bacterium. RNAcentral describes it as "partial 16S ribosomal RNA". It matches the Rfam family "Bacterial small subunit ribosomal RNA", at positions 524 to 776 of the family's 1533-position model. The record is from RNAcentral.